RNAcentral lists this ribosomal RNA (464 nucleotides) under uncultured bacterium. RNAcentral's name for it is "partial 16S ribosomal RNA". It matches the Rfam family "Bacterial small subunit ribosomal RNA", at positions 28 to 507 of the family's 1533-position model. The record is from RNAcentral.
GACGAACGCUGGCGGCGUGCUUAACACAUGCAAGUCGAGCGGAAAGACUCCAACUUUCUUGCGUACACGAUUGGCGAACGCGUGUGUAACACAUGUGUGACCUCCCCUUAACUUACGGAUAUAACUUCGAGACUCGGGCUCAUACCGGGUAGGAUCUCUCCGUCCGGGUGGGGUGGAAGUGUUUUUCGGUGUUGGUUGCGCCUGCGGACUAUCAGCUUCUUGGUUGGUAAUGGCCUACGAAGGCGGCGACCGGUAGCCGGCCUGAGAGGGUGGACGGCCACAUGGGGACUGAGACACGGCCCAGAAGCCUACGGGAGGCAGCAGGGGGGAAUAUGGCAGAAUGGGCGGAAGUCUGAGGCAGCGACGCCGGGUGGGGGAUGACGGCCUUCGGGUGGUAAACUACUGUCUCCAUCGACGAAGGGGUUCUGACGGUAGAUGGAGAAGAAGCACCGGCUAACUACGUG